RNAcentral lists this ribosomal RNA (253 nucleotides) under uncultured bacterium. Its description in RNAcentral is "partial 16S ribosomal RNA". It matches the Rfam family "Bacterial small subunit ribosomal RNA", at positions 524 to 776 of the family's 1533-position model. The record is from RNAcentral.
GACGAACCGUCCAACCGUUAUUCGGAAUUACUGGGCGUAAAGGGCGCGUAGGCGGCGCGGUAAGUCACUUGUGAAAUCUCUGAGCUUAACUCAGAACGGCCAAGUGAUACUGCAGUGCUAGAGUGUGGAAGGGGCAAUCGGAAUUCUUGGUGUAGCGGUGAAAUGCGUAGAUAUCAAGAGGAACACCUGAGGUGAAGACGGGUUGCUGGGCCAACACUGACGCUGAUGCGCGAAAGCCAGGGGAGCAAACGGG